RNAcentral lists this ribosomal RNA (484 nucleotides) under uncultured bacterium. Its description in RNAcentral is "partial 16S ribosomal RNA". It matches the Rfam family "Bacterial small subunit ribosomal RNA", at positions 29 to 507 of the family's 1533-position model. The record is from RNAcentral.
AUUGAACGCUGGCGGUAUGCUUAACACAUGCAAGUCGAACGGCAGCGCGGCAUUCGGGUGGGCUGCGAGCGGGGAACGGGUGAGUGAUUCAUGGGAACAUCCCCAGCCGUGGUGGAGAACACUUGGAAGGAAGUGCAAAUACCGCAAAAGUCCAGAGGAGGUAAGCGGGGGAUCGCAAGACCUGGCGCGCUUGGUGGGGUGGAUGUGAGAUUAGCUAGUUGGUGGGGUAAAGGCCUACCAAGGCGACGAUCUGUAGCUGGUCUGAGAGGAUGAGCAGCCACACUGGGACUGAGACACGGCCCAGACUCCUACGGGAGGCAGCAGUGGGGAAUUUUGGACAAUGGGGGCAAGCCUGAUCCAGCCAUACCGAGUGAGUGAAGAAGGCCUUCGGGUUGUAAAGCCCUUUUGGCAGGAACGAAACGCUGGACGCUAACAAAGAGCGGUAGUGACGGUACCUGAAGAAGAAGCACCGGCUAACUACGUG